RNAcentral lists this ribosomal RNA (332 nucleotides) under uncultured bacterium. Its description in RNAcentral is "bacterial SSU rRNA". It matches the Rfam family "Bacterial small subunit ribosomal RNA", at positions 28 to 334 of the family's 1533-position model. The record is from RNAcentral.
GAUGAACGCUGGCGGCGUGCUUAACACAUGCAAGUCGAACGAAGAUUGUUAGAAUGAGAGCUUCGGCAGGAUUUCUUUCCAUCUUAGUGGCGGACGGGUGAGUAACGUGUGGGCAACCUGCCCUGUACUGGGGAAUAAUCAUUGGAAACGAUGACUAAUACCGCAUAGGCGCGGACGGGACAUCCCGUCCACGUUAAACGUCCUUACGGGGACGGCUGAAGGAUGGGCCUGUGGCGCAUUAGCUUGUUGGCGGGGCAACGGCCCACCAAGGCGACGAUGCGUAGCCGGCCUGAGAGGGCGACGGCCACGACUGGGACUGAGACACGGCCCAG